Molecule: ribosomal RNA, 1186 nt
Filed under: Triticum aestivum (bread wheat)
Lineage: Eukaryota; Viridiplantae; Streptophyta; Magnoliopsida; Poales; Poaceae
Description: partial small subunit ribosomal RNA
Source: RNAcentral
CUGCCGCGUAGAGGGAAUUGAGACCGACGUUACCUCGAAGGUAGUGUGGUAGUAUGACGCAGCCGCGAAGCGGUGCGCGCGGCUCUACGUUACCUCGAGGCGGCGGCGAGGUAACCUCGCGUCAACCACGACUUCACCUCGGAGCAGCCGCGUAGUGGCCCCAGUAGCCCGACGUUACCACGAGGCGGCAACCACGGAACCUCGCGUCAACCCGACGUUACCUACCAGUAGCCUCGAAGCGGCGCCGACGUUACCUCGUGGUAGCCCCAGUAAGCUCGAAGCGGCGUCGAUGUUACCUUGAGGUGGUCUCGACGUUACCUCACGGCGGCCCUACGUUACCUCCCAGCAGCCUCGAAACGGCGACGACGUUACCACGAAGCGGCGCCGACGUUACCUCGCAGCAGCGCCAGUAAGCUCGAAGCGACGCCGACGUUACCUCGAGAUGGUCUCGACGUUACCUCGUAGCGGCCCCGACGUUAUGUCGAAGCGGCCCGCAGCUGUCACGAAGGUACCUCGACGUGACCUCGAAGCAGCCCCGCAGCAUUGACGACGCAACUUCGAAAAAAACGUCGGGAGCCACGAUGGUAUCACGUCAUGGUGCUCCUCCUACGCAACACCUAUCUCCUGCCCGACGACGGUAGCUUACAGUGUCCACGGUCUAGCCCGCCGACCGUUCCGCCUACUAAAGGACCCCUUUAGUAGGCCGACUAAACAUCGUCGGCGGUAAGGUCAUUAGGAUGUAGAUGCUCGUGGAUGCAUUAUGCAUUGGAAGGAUUGGUUGAGAGAGAGGGUGUGGACUAAAGAAAAAAAAGCGCUUAUGCGAUCUCACGCAUAGAAAAGUAAUUAUCCAACUCACUUAUGUUGUCUCUUCCCCCCCACGUUUGAGUUACAGUACACGUGAUCCCGUUCUGUUUCUCGGCGUCUGUAACCACUGCCCGACGAGUCGGGCUCCUGUUCUGAUACUUCGAUACGUUCAUUGUUCAAAUCAGGCACGCGCGAACGGGACCGGGUCCUUGCCCGUAGCAUGAUCUAUCUGCGCUUCUCGACGCUCUACCUCCCCCAGAGCGGCAGUUUUUCUGUGGCCAUCGCGACAAAGGUCUACCUGGUACGGCAAUCAUGGCGCUCGCACCGUUCCGGGAACGCCACCGGUCAUCCCCUAGGGUACUAGCAUCUGCGUGUGGUGCCG